GGGGCUGUAGUAUAGCCUGGUAGAAUUGGCCCUUGGGGUGGGUCCGGCCCCGGUUCAAAUUGUCGCAAGAGGGCAUCUUGUGCAUGCAACUCCGGGCAGCCCCA
This 104-nucleotide transfer RNA is filed under the name Candidatus Woesearchaeota archaeon. RNAcentral describes it as "tRNA-Pro". Lineage: Archaea; Nanobdellati; Candidatus Woesearchaeota. The record is from RNAcentral.